Molecule: ribosomal RNA, 450 nt
Filed under: uncultured bacterium
Lineage: Bacteria
Description: bacterial SSU rRNA
Rfam family: Bacterial small subunit ribosomal RNA
Source: RNAcentral
GUGGGGAAUUUUGGACAAUGGACGCAAGUCUGAUCCAGCCAUGCCGCGUGCGGGAAGAAGGCCUUCGGGUUGUAAACCGCUUUUGUCAGGGAAGAAAAGCUCCGAACUAAUAUUUUGGGGUGAUGACGGUACCUGAAGAAUAAGCACCGGCUAACUACGUGCCAGCAGCCGCGGUAAUACGUAGGGUGCAAGCGUUAAUCGGAAUUACUGGGCGUAAAGCGUGCGCAGGCGGUUCUAUAAGACAGAUGUGAAAUCCCCGGGCUCAACCUGGGAACUGCAUUUGUGACUGUAGAGCUGGAGUGCGGCAGAGGGGGAUGGAAUUCCGCGUGUAGCAGUGAAAUGCGUAGAUAUGCGGAGGAACACCGAUGGCGAAGGCAAUCCCCUGGGCCUGCACUGACGCUCAUGCACGAAAGCGUGGGGAGCAAACAGGAUUAGAUACCCUUGUAGUCC